Molecule: ribosomal RNA, 403 nt
Filed under: Verrucomicrobiota bacterium
Lineage: Bacteria; Pseudomonadati; Verrucomicrobiota
Description: Verrucomicrobia bacterium partial 16S ribosomal RNA
Rfam family: Bacterial small subunit ribosomal RNA
Source: RNAcentral
UGGGGAAUAUUGCACAAUGGGCGCAAGCCUGAUGCAGCAACGCCGCGUGAACGAUGAAGGUCUUCGGAUCGUAAAGUUCUGUUGCAGGGGAAGAUAAUGACGGUACCCUGUGAGGAAGCCCCGGCUAACUACGUGCCAGCAGCCGCGGUAAUACGUAGGGGGCUAGCGUUAUCCGGAUUUACUGGGUGUAAAGGGUGCGUAGGUGGUCUUUCAAGUCGGUGGUUAAAGGCUACGGCUCAACCGUAGUUAGCCUCCGAAACUGGAAGACUUGAGUGCAGGAGAGGAAAGUGGAAUUCCCAGUGUAGCGGUGAAAUGCGUAGAUAUUGGGAGGAACACCAGUAGCGAAGGCGGCUUUCUGGACUGCAACUGACACUGAGGCACGAAAGCGUGGGUAGCAAACAGG